RNAcentral lists this ribosomal RNA (460 nucleotides) under uncultured bacterium. RNAcentral's name for it is "partial 16S ribosomal RNA". It matches the Rfam family "Bacterial small subunit ribosomal RNA", at positions 338 to 795 of the family's 1533-position model. The record is from RNAcentral.
CCUACGGGAGGCAGCAGUGAGGAAUAUUGGUCAAUGGACGCAAGUCUGAACCAGCCAUGCCGCGUGCAGGAAGACGGUUCUAUGAGUUGUAAACUGCUUUUGUACGAGGAUAAACGCAGGUACGCGUAUCUGUCUGAAAGUAACGUACGAAUAAGCAUCGGCUAACUCCGUGCCAGCAGCCGCGGUAAUACGGAGGAUUCAACCGUUAUCCGGAUUUAUUGGGUUUAAAGGGUGCGUAGGCGGUCGGAUAAGUUAGAGGUGAAAGCCCGCGGCUCAACUUCGGAAUUGCCUCUGAUACUGGUCGGCUAGAGAGGAGUUGCGGUAGGCGGAAUGUAUGGUGUAGCGGUGAAAUGCUUAGAGAUCAUACAGAACACCGAUUGCGAAGGCAGCAUACCAAGCUAAUACUGACGUUGAGGCACGAAAGCGUGGGGAGCAAACAGGAUUAGAUACCCUGGUAGUC